Molecule: long non-coding RNA, 730 nt
Organism: Otolemur garnettii (small-eared galago)
Lineage: Eukaryota; Metazoa; Chordata; Mammalia; Primates; Galagidae
Exons: 4
Source: RefSeq, a predicted model, not a curated record
AGCAACUGAGGGCUCAGACAUCAGACAGGCUGGAGAUGGUGACUCUGGAUGUCACCAAGACGGAAAGUGUCACUGCAGCUGCCCAGUGGGUAAAGGAACAUAUCGAGGACAUGAUGAGGGAUGCCUGAAGUUUUUCAGCAAAAGAACUGAGGUUAUCAUGAAUAAGUCACAAAAGCAAUUCCAACACUGGCAAAGAAAAGAACUGAAUUGCACUGGAUUGAGAAGGGCAACAAAGCGGAGGGGAGCAUUUUCUUACUACAGAAUCAAGUAAUUUCUGGCCAAGAAACAGAAGCAAAAGUGUCACAUUCCCCAGUGGAUUUGAAUGAAAACAGGCACAGCUCCAAGAGGAGACAUUGGAGACCAAGCUGGGUCUAUGAGGAAUUGCACACGAGUUGGCACACGCAGUUAUGCUGUAUCAAGGUCACUAUCAUCUUACACAGCAGGCUGGAAAUGUUGCUACUAUCUGGACAGUCAAGCACAUUUCAUGUAAUUUUCUCUUUGCUUAUAUGACCUGCACUAAUAAGCUGGUUCAGUAAUAAAUACGUGAGACAUUUUGUUUGAAAAAAGGAAAAGUGAGAGACCUGGAAAGAAAAGAAAGUGAUCAGAAAGUAGGUAUUAGAACCGAAGACGUCAGAGAAGGAGAGGCUCUGAGUGCUGAAGUCCACGUUGAGGUGAUGAUCUAUGGUUGCCUGAAAGGAAGCUCACUAAAGUUUGAGAGAUCAAAAAAGUA